AUUUAUUAUUAUUCUAACAUAAAAAUUAAAUUUGUGUUUUCAAACGAAAAAUUUUAAAUUAAAAAUUAUGAAUGAAAGGGGUUCCAAAUGAAGAAAUUCAGAUUAAGCACCGAUAAGACGUUGUCCUGCUGCGAAUACAAUUUAAAUACAACGACAGUUUUAUAUAAAUUUCAUUUUGACAAAACCCAUACUCUAAACAAACCAAAAAAUAUUGUGUUUGUUGCGGUUGUUGCCCAAACGUUCCCACCUUACUUAUUACAUCAUGGUUUAUGAAGUUUUCAUAGAAAUCGUUUUACCAUAUUAUUUUGAAAAAUUCCAGUUUUCUUUGAAAUGUUUAUAAAAAUUAAUCAAAAUUGAAUAAUGUUUAAAAAUAUAACAAAAUAUUUGCAUUUAAAUUGAAUUCAAUGAAAAAUAUAUUGAAAACUUGCAAGAAGAUUUGAUAAAAGAGCUGGUGGUGAUUUAAAAAAAACAAUGCAAUAUCCACAUUGCUAAAAGGAAACGUGUCAAAAUGCAAAUGUUUCAAGCAUUACCUUCUUCACAGACUAGACUAAAAUCCAGACUAUACUAUAAUUCAGCCUUUAUAACAGACUAUAUUCCUGAAACAGACAAGACUGUAGUCCAGACUACAGACUAAAAUUUAAUCCAGACUAUUGACUAUGCUAUAGUGCAGACUUAGACUAACAUAUAGUCCAAAUUAUAAACUAGACCAGCCUAGAGAAUAGACUAAAGUCAAUAGACUAUAGUCUACUUUUGUAUCAAUAUAAAUAUCUAAGACCAACUUUGAUGGAUUGGAAAGCUUUUAGAGUUACGAACUUCAAAUUUUGCAAGAACUACAUUGGCAUCUACUUAAAUAAUUGGGACAAAUAGAUGGACUACCGAAGCACAUUGGACAUAGCUAACUAUAAAUAAAAAUUAUUAAGCAAUAUAUAUAUGUCAUUAUUGUAAUAAAAAUAAUUCGAAAAAUGUCUUAUUUAGAUCAGUGUGUUGUAGUUAUCAGUUUGUCGCGAGAAUUAAUAAUAGAACAAAUCUAAUGAUA
This is a long non-coding RNA of Lucilia cuprina (Australian sheep blowfly), 1036 nucleotides long. RefSeq lists it as uncharacterized. NCBI's taxonomy places the organism in Eukaryota, Metazoa, Arthropoda, Insecta, Diptera, Calliphoridae. The transcript is spliced from 3 exons. The record is from RefSeq and is a predicted model, not a curated record.